Setaria italica (foxtail millet) is the source of this 734-nucleotide long non-coding RNA. RefSeq lists it as uncharacterized. The record is from RefSeq and is a predicted model, not a curated record. The transcript is spliced from 2 exons. Lineage: Eukaryota; Viridiplantae; Streptophyta; Magnoliopsida; Poales; Poaceae.
CCGCCCGCCCAAUGCUUCCUUCCUCCCUCCCUCCUCAAGUCCCUCAUGCAUGCAUGUUCCCAAGUCCGCGGCGCCGUCCAUGAUGACUUCGCAGUUCGCUAAUCUAAAUAUCUAGUCGCCGCUGCACACUGCAGGCGACUGAGUAGACGAAGAGCAGCCAUUGCACUCGCAGCUGCGAUCAGCACUAGUAAUAUAAAGCAUCGCCCGCCGCCUGCAAUUCCUUCUUCCUUCCUUCCGCCCAAUAUACACAACAAUUCCUGCCUGCAGAUCAAUGCAAUGGCUGGCCGAGUAGUGACGAUGGAGUAAGCAGCAUCAAUGGCGGAAACAAUGCAAGUACCCUGCAAUGUAAUGGAGCUGCAAAACAAAGGCCAGCAGCAAACCUCCUGCAAGCUGGAAGCAGGAGCGGGUGAUUAAGAGAAGGUGCAGAAUGAACAGCUGAAGAUUAUGGUUAUCCGACCAUCACAGACCUGCUAUGUGGAGACUGAACAAGGCAUCUAGCUAUAUGCAGUGGCUUCAGCUUCAUCUGCAAACGGGAGCCUCAGUUCAACACAGCUGGUACAGGCAGGAGAGCAAGCCUGCUACCUUCUGAAUCUGAUGAAACAAUUUCAGCUAUCCUCAGGUCUCCAGUUUCUGCAGAAAAAUUUGAAGUUUCCUAAUCUUUAUAUUUGCACUGGUAACUCGGGCUGUUUGGACAUCCUGAUAAAUGCAAUGCAAUCCUGAUGAUUUCAGUUAAA